CAACGCUAAAGAGGGUAGUUGACUUUGAUGAGUUGAAAGACAAGUGCUCAAUAUAUUUUCAGUCAUCAUCCUACGGAUAAAAUAAAAUCCACAAGUAAAAGGUAUGUUUAAUUUUCAAAUUCCCACUUGAUUAUUUUUUAAUCUUCGAUUAUUCCCCCCCCCCCUCAAGGAUUGUAGGUUCGAAAUCGUCAUCGGUCUGCCACUUUUAUACAUUUUUUAUAUUAUUUAAUUUUAUAUUUUAGAUAUACAUGUAUAUACUUUUAACAAAAUUUCAUACAUAUUUACCCUUUUUUUCAUUUUUCCUCGCAUUCCAUUCAAAAAAGAUAUAAAGACUUUCCCGCCAUUUCCAUUCGGAUCACUCUAGUGAGCAUUUUCCAUUGUAUAAGUAGAAAAACCAUUCUUGUACUUUAUCUUGUUGAAUACAAUAUUUGAACACAAAAUUAAAUGAACAUUGAUUUACUAUCUUACGGUUCAAGACACAACAUUUCAAAAGUAAUUCAAAUUUCCAGACAAUGCCAACUCUUCCAAAGGACCUGAGUUCAUCGUUGUAUACUCUCUAAUCUUUGGUUUUCUGUGUAAUGUUGUGUAGACUUUUGUUUUUAUUCUGAAUUUUGGCAUUUAAACCACGUGAGUAACUUUUCUAUUUAUUUUUUUUUUAUGUUCUUCUUCUGGACCCGUAAUAUUCAGAGAAAAAUAUAUAAUUUUUUUUUUUUUUUCUAAAUAAUACACAAUUGUAAUACCACCAGGCAAAAGCAAUUACAAA
Molecule: long non-coding RNA, 763 nt
Filed under: Mytilus galloprovincialis (Mediterranean mussel)
Lineage: Eukaryota; Metazoa; Mollusca; Bivalvia; Mytilida; Mytilidae
Source: RNAcentral